CCCCACACCCGCUCACACAGAGACGCUGCAGCGCAGUUACCCGAAAGCAGAAGUCCGGGCAUGGGGCCAGCCAUGGGGCUGCUGCUCUGUAGCCUCCUGCUGUUGGCUCCAGGGGGUCUGCGGCUCUCCUCCGGCCAGGUGCAGCUGGAGGGCUUGGUGGGUGAGUCUGUGUAUUUCCCUGCCCUGAGCCCCGUGGCCAGAGACAUCGUCCGUGUCCUGUGGUUUUCAGAAAGGCAGGGCACUCACAUCGCAGAGGCCAAACCCCAGGGCCAGGCAUUCAACGUCAAUUUCUUACCCAACUUCAGCAACCGGCUGGCGAUCCACGCCGGGAACCUCUCCCUGGAGAUCCGCCAUCUGCGGCUGGAAGACCAGGGGCCGUACCGCGCCGUUGUGGAUAUUGCCUCAGACCCUACCAAGCCCAGGGCCUUCUCCUAUGAGCUGUCAGUGCGAGAACGUGGGCAAGAGGGAGACAGGGGCAAAGGAGGAACCACGGACCCGCCAGGAGGCGGAGAACGGAGGACAUCGACGGGCCCCCCAGCAGAAGGAGCGCCCGUGACCACAGGCAGGAGGACAACGCUGGCAGGAGGGGAUGGGGGAGGGCAGGAGGGCGGUGAGAGCCAGGGAUCGUGCCACUGCACGCUGAAGGGUUAUGUCAUCGCGGCCGUCUAUGUGCCCCUCUGUGCUGUGGUGGCUAUCGUCCACGUGAAGACGAGGGGCUGACGGAAAAGCCGGGGUCCCUGGGUGACAGAAGAGACAGGGCAGCUGCUGGGGCAGGAAGGGCAGCCACCUGUCUGGGGCUAUCGCCUCUUUGUUCAUUCUCUGUAAAUACCCUCUCCAGUACCCCCCAGAAACUCCCUCCCAGUACACACACAUCCCUCUAGCACCCCCUAAAUACCCCCUCCAGUACCCCCCAGGUAUCGCCUCCAGCAUCCCCAGAAACCCCCUCCCAGUACACACACCCCUCCAGCACUCCUAAAUACCCCCUCCAGUACCCCUCCAGCUACCACCUCCAGCACCCCCAAAAUACCCCCUCUAGUACCCCUCAGGUACCACCUCCAGCACCCCCAAGAUACUCCCUCCCAGUACACACACACCCCUCUAGCACCCCCUAAAUACUCCCUCCAGUAUCCCCCCAGGUAUUUCCUCCAGUUCCCCCCACAUACCACCUCCAGCACCCCCAAGGUACCCCCUCCCUGUACACAUACCCCUCCAGCACCCCUAAAUACCACCUCAAGUACCCCCCAGGUACUGCCUCCAGUACCCCCCAGGUACCACCUCCAGCACCCUCAAGAUACCCCCUCCCAGUACACACACCUCUCCAGCACCCCUAAAUGCCACCUCCAAUACCCCCCAGGUACCGCCUCCAGCAUCCCCAGAAACCCCCUCCCACUACACACACCCUUCUAGCACCCCCUAAAUACCCCCUCCAGUACCCCCCCAAGUACCUCCUCCAGUACCUCCCAGAAACCCCCUCCUAGUACACAAACAACCUCUAGCACCCCCUAAAUACCCCCUCCAGUACCGCUCAGGUACCGUCUCCAGCAUCCCCAGAAACCCCCUCCCAGGACACACACAACCCUCUAGCAUCCCCUAAAUACCCCCUCCAGUACCCCCAGGUACCUCCUCCAGUUCCUCCCAGAUACAGCCUCCAGGUACCCCCUCCCAGUACACACACCCCUCCAGCACCUCCUAAAUAUCCCCUCAAAUACUACCUCCAGCACCUUUCCAGGUACCCGCUCAAGCACCCCCCAGGUACCUCCUCCCAGUACACACACACCCCUCCAGCACCCCCGAACUGUACCCUCCCCUCCAGCUCCCUCUCGCCUGCCCCCAGGAGUGCCCUCUGUUGGGAACCUGGCAGCCGCUAACCCUAGGGGCAAGGGGCUUGUUCAGAGAGCCCUGGGCCACUGUACUGGUGUUUGUACUGCAACAGCUCUAGCUCAUCGUGCCGGAUGCUGCACAGACACAUCGUGGAGAUGGUCCCUGCCCUGAAGCGUCCUCUGCCUGAAUAGACAAAGGGUCAUUAUUGCCAUGUCCGGGCUCCAUAGACAAAGGGCAGGAGGGGAAAUUGAGGCACGGGGAGGGGAUGGUCACCCAGCCGAUCACUGGCAGCGCCAGGAGUAGAAGUCAGGAGAGUGUUCUGGCCACUGGAGGCGCUCACUCGGUCCUGUAGUCUAUAGCUACCUCCCAUGAAGCCCAACAGGACUACUCCUUAUACACUUCUGGUCCAAGUCCACCCCUAUCUAAAAUGAUGGGGUCUAAGUUAGCUGUUACCACUCACAAAAGAGAUCGUGGAGUCAGUGUGGAUAGUUCUCUGAAAACAUCCACCCAAGGUGCAGUGGCAGUCAAAAAAGCAAACAGAAUGCUGGGAAUAAUUAAGAAAGGGAUAGAUAAUAAGACAGAAAAUCAAUUCAGUUCAAUUCCCUUUCAUUCCCAGGGAAGCAGUGAGAUCUGUAGGCCAGAGCGGGGGAGGAGGGGAGAGAUUUGAAAGUCCUGGAGUUUGCAUAAGCAGCUCCAUGUUCACCCCUGAGCGAGUCACCUCCCCAAUUUUCUGUGCCUCAGUUUCCCCUGCUGUCCAAUGGAUGCUAUGAUGUGUUUACCUGCCCUCCCAAGGGUGCUGAGCAGCUGGGCCAAUGAGCAUCCAUCAAGCACUGCAUGCUCAUCACAAUAAAAGCCCAGAAAAAGCACCAAGCAGGACUGAAUUUUGUUGUCUGUUGCAC
This 2720-nucleotide long non-coding RNA is filed under the name Gopherus evgoodei (Goodes thornscrub tortoise). Its description in RNAcentral is "lncRNA (ENSGEVG00005005644.1)". The record is from RNAcentral. Lineage: Eukaryota; Metazoa; Chordata; Testudines; Testudinidae.